GACGAACGCUGGCGGCGUGCCUAACACAUGCAAGUCGAACGGAGUUGAGUGCUUCGGUAUUCAACUUAGUGGCGAACGGGUGAGUAACGCGUGAGGAACCUGCCUUUCAGUGGGGGACAACAGUUGGAAACGACUGCUAAUACCGCAUGAUACUUUCUGGGGCAUCCCUGGAAAGUCAAAGAUUUAUUGCUGAAAGAUGGCCUCGCGUCUGAUUAGCUAGUUGGCGGGUAACGCCCACCAAGGCGACGAUCAGUAGCCGGUCUGAGAGGAUGAACGGCCACAUUGGGACUGAGAUACGGCCCAGACUCCUACGGGAGGCAGCAGUGGGGAAUAUUGGGCAAUGGGGGAAACCCUGACCCAGCAACGCCGCGUGAAGGAAGAAGGCCUUCGGGUUGUAAACUUCUUUUACCAGGGACGAAGGGACGUGACGGGUACCUGGGAGAAAAAGCAACGGGCUAACUACGUGCCAGCAGCCGCCGUAAG
Molecule: ribosomal RNA, 483 nt
Filed under: uncultured bacterium
Lineage: Bacteria
Description: bacterial SSU rRNA
Rfam family: Bacterial small subunit ribosomal RNA
Source: RNAcentral